GCCAGACUCCUACGGGAGGCAGCAGUGGGGAAUAUUGCACAAUGGGGGAAACCCUGAUGCAGCGACGCCGCGUGAGUGAAGAAGUAUUUCGGUAUGUAAAGCUCUAUCAGCAGGAACGAGACAAGACGGUACCUGACUAAGAAGCCCCGGCUAACUACGUGCCAGCAGCCGCGGUAAUACGUAGGGGGCAAGCGUUAUCCGGAAUCACUGGGUGUAAAGGGAGCGUAGACGGCUGAGCAAGCCUGAAGUGAAAGGCGGGGGCCCAACCCCUGGACUGCUUUGGGAACUGUACGGCUGGAGUGCAGGAGAGGUAAGUGGAAUUCCUAGUGUAGCGGUGAAAUGCGUAGAUAUUAGGAGGAACACCAGUGGCGAAGGCGGCUUACUGGACUGUAACUGACGUUGAGGCUCGAAAGCGUGGGGAGCAAACAGGAUUAGAUACCCGGGUACG
This 448-nucleotide ribosomal RNA is filed under the name uncultured bacterium. RNAcentral's name for it is "bacterial SSU rRNA". It matches the Rfam family "Bacterial small subunit ribosomal RNA", at positions 330 to 793 of the family's 1533-position model. The record is from RNAcentral.